Papaver somniferum (opium poppy) is the source of this 3423-nucleotide RNA transcript. It is a transcript of the gene named helicase protein MOM1-like, with no coding region annotated. NCBI's taxonomy places the organism in Eukaryota, Viridiplantae, Streptophyta, Magnoliopsida, Ranunculales, Papaveraceae. The record is from RefSeq and is a predicted model, not a curated record. The transcript has 9 exons.
UCGGCACUCACACACGGCUGAGCAACUCAACAGCUUUUUCUUCCCCCACCACCACCGCCCCACCCAAGUAGAAGUAGAUGUCCUCUUAAUUUCUCGACUCUAUCGAAGACAAAGAUAUACUCUUUACUAGGAAACCAGCAGAGGGUCUUCAUCGGAAAAACAAAAAUGCCUAACCCAUUGAGAAGAAAGUCUGGUUCUAGUUCUUUAGACAGCAAAAAUGAGGAGCACGAGGAGAAGAAGAGGUCGUCACCGUGUUCUAAUGGUGGUAAGAAAUUGAGUGCCGCUAAGUACAGAGAAAUUUUACUCAAGAACCAAGGAAGGGAAGGGGAUGAGAAAUCAGAUAACAAGAAGCUGAUAUUGGACAAUGAUUUGGCUCAAGUUGGAGACGGUAUGGAAAUUGAGCAGAAUGGUGGUCAUUUCAGUGAAAGUAAGCUUAUUAACGUUGUUCAGCGGUCUGGGAAAAUUGGAGAUGGAAGGAAAAACUUGGAAAUGUCUGUCUCUAUGGAAGAGGGAGAGAGUACAGUGCCUCUGGAACCAGAAGAGGAUGGAGGGAAGAUAAAUGUCAAGGUUUGUGGAGGAGGAAUCAGUGAAGAUUGUUCCAAGGAUGUACAACCCAAGGAUGCAGUGUUGAUGGCGGAAACGGGAAGCAAUGAUAAUGUUUGUGUCAUCCACAAGCUUGGUGAAAAUACUGGAAAGCUCUUGGGCUCCAACGGCAAGGGUUGCACAAAUAACUAUCAUCUCGAAUGUGCUGAUCCGCCCCUGAAGGAUGUGCCACCUGGUGGUUGGCAUUGUGUCUGUUAUGUUAAGAAGAACAUAGAGUCAGGUGUUCUUUUUUGCCCUGGAGCAGUAGAAUCCAAUUUGGAUGAUGUACAAGUGGAAUUGGCAGAUUCCGCUAGUGUGGAUAGUACUAAAACCAGUUCAUGCAAUAACAAUGAUUCUAAUGGCAAUGUUGAGAAGCUGAAGGAGAGGCUUGUACGUGUCGUUGCGUCAGAUUCUAAGUUUGUCGAAUACUGGGUUCCUGUUAAGCUUUCCAAUGUCCAGCUUGAGCAGUAUUGUGGUAUCCUACUUUCUAAUUCAGCGUUACUUCGUUCAUCUUCAAAGAAAUAUGUUAUUGCUGAGGCUCUCUGUAAUGUUCUUAGCUCUGCCAGGAAGUGUUGCGACCAUCCAUAUUUUGUGAACCCUUCUUUGCAGAAAGUGCUCACAGAUGGUCUGUCAGAGGCCGAGUAUUUGAAUGCCGGAGUAAAAGCAAGUGGCAAACUACAAGUACUUGAUAAGAUCCUUUCAGAGACAAAAAAGCAAGGCUUAAGAGUACUGAUCAUUUUUCAGUCAAAUGUUGGCUCCAGUGGAAUCUCUCUGGGAGAUGUCUUGGAUGAUUUUGUGCUUCAGAGAUGUGGUGUGGAUUCCUACGAACGUGUUGAUCGUGGAUUCGUUGCAUCUGAUGAGGAAUUUGCCAAUCAGAAGCAAUCUGCCAUGAACAAGUUCAAUGAUAGGGAAAAAGGGAGAAUUGUGUUUUUACUAGAUCAGCGUGCUUGCCUCCCAAGCAUUAAGCUAUCAUCAGUUGAUAUGGUAAUUCUAUAUGACAGCGAUUUGAACCCGUACAAUGAUAUGAAAGUUCUGCAGAAGAUCACUAUUGUCUCGCAGCAUGAACAGUUAAAAGUGUUCCGGUUAUAUUCAUUGUAUACUGUGGAGGAAAUGUUUCUAAUUCAUGCUAAGCAAGGUCUGGCCGAUGAUGCACAAAACUUAAACCGUUCCACGAUCCAUCAGUUGCUUAGAUGGGGUGCUUCUUAUUUAUUCAAAGAAUUGGCCGUGUUCCAUGGUUCCUCCACAUCCUCCGAUCCAAAAUUUUCUUCUGAUAAUUUGGUGAAAGAAUUACCUGGUCAGCUGCCUGCGAAUGCUGGAAGCCCUAGUCCAAUCAAUUCCUCAAUUGUUGUGAAAGUUAAUCAAACAGGAGGCACAUAUUCUAGAGAUAUAUCUUUACCUGGUGAGCUGGAGAUGCAGUCGGUUGACGAAGAUCUGCCUCAUGUCUUCUUCUGGACAAAAUUACUGGAUAGGAAGACCCCAGAGUGGAGAUAUUUACCUGCUGCAUCCUCACCCUUGGAGAACCGUAAACGAGUCAAGUACUUUGAAUGUUCAUUGGAAACGGCGGACUUUGACAAUGAUGAUGUCACGAAGAAGAAACGGAAGGGUUUUACCGGUAUCACAGAUGCACCUGUUGUAGAAGAUACAAGAGAAGUCGGUGGUCUCAACAAAGAAGGUAAAAGGAUAAAUGAUACCAAUGAGCAGGACCAAGUUGGGUUAGUGCCCUGGGAAUUUCCAUCACAGCCAGCUAUAACUGACAACCAUUUUGAGUUGCCUACUUACAAUGAUGCUUUGCAAGAUACAAUGCUGCAGCAGUCUGUGCUUAUAGACAGAUGUGUAGGUGGUACACGUGUAACAGAUUUCAGAAGCUUGGGGGUUGUUCCGGACUGCAUUAGUCACCAUCCUUUACAUAUUGCUCAAUUGACUUAUGCUCGGACUUCUCAGACUCUGCUCCAGGGUGACCCUCUUUUAAAUGAAUUAGUUAGAAUUCGCCAAGAGGGGGAGAAAGCUGUGAAAUUCCACGAAGAAUCGAGAACACGAAUCAGAUUUGAUUAUCACAAGGAGGUGCAAGAGGUCUAUAAAAAGUAUAGCAAGCUUCAUUAUGAUAAUGAUACUGCAUUAGCUCGGACAAAGAAUGCAAUUGAUACAAAUCAUAACAAAGUCACCAUUAAUGUGAUGUUAGCCAAGUAUUUAAGGGACAACUGUCUAUGAGACUACCAGGGCUGCUGGAUGACAUCAAGGUAUAGGUCCCUCGACUUUGAAUUCUUCUAUCGCAUUUGAGAAUUUUUUUUGGUGGCUAUGCAAAUUUUGAAAUUUUGAGCUACAUUUAUAAUGCCGUAAUAGUUGAUGGUCAUUUUAAUUUGCUUGGGAAAGGAUUAGGUCUCAUUUUAUGUUCCACACGCAAUGAUCGGUGUAGGAGACGUGGCGUUAGUUUGCUGCUCUCCAAAAUUCUGUAAAAAGAAUCAAGUAUUACAGUAAAUACAAAUUAUAUCCCACCAGUAACAGUGAAUUUUACCCAAUGAUUUACCAUCUUUAGUUCCCAUGGAGCAUUCUUUACAAAAAAUUGAGUCUACAAUGGAGGUGAUGCAGACAAGUCUGUUGGGAAAUGGUUUCCUGAUUUUGAACAAAUUUCCGUUAAUAAAUAGGGUGGUACACUUAUAAACUCUGAUUCUACAGCUGCAAUAAAAGCUUUUGUGUGAGGGAAAUAAACUUUGCAGCGGAUGCAUUGCCGGGUCUCAUCUUCGAAGUUCGAUCUGACAUAGUUGUAUUGUUGCGUAGUCUAAUCCUUCCUGAAUUGUCUCUGUCGGUUGUAAAUACGCAUUAAGUCUUUCUGUAGGGAUAACA